Long non-coding RNA from Octodon degus (degu), 718 nucleotides. RefSeq lists it as uncharacterized. The transcript is spliced from 3 exons. The record is from RefSeq and is a predicted model, not a curated record. Lineage: Eukaryota; Metazoa; Chordata; Mammalia; Rodentia; Octodontidae.
CCAUACCUCUAGGGUACCAAUACAGCAGUUUGGGAAGCACCAGUGGAAGAAGCAGAAGAGAUGGAGGAGACCAGAUCCAUCUGAAGACUUCCAGAGGAGGGAAGGAGAACUUACUGUUUCCCCAACACUGGCUUGGGUAGCAGACAUGUGCGUAGUUCUAUAUUAUCAGGCAGAAUAAAGUAACUCAGGAGAAGAGACUCAGGGCACUAGCAGCAAUGGAGGAACGGGAAAGUAAAAGCUGUAGACUGGACUUUUCGAAGGCAUGUGGACCUGGGGGGAGGGGCUGAGACUCCGUAAAGGCCAGCAGGAAGUGGGGCAAAGUGCCGCAUGGUCAUUUCCUCCCCUCUUCUCUCCUCACUGUUCUGGUGGUGUGCAUAGAGACUGAGGAAGUGGCUAUAAUGUUGCCUGUGGUUGUAGGCCUAAGAGGCCUAAGAUCUGUGAGUCCACACUGAAGAGGUGAAGCGGAUCGGAUCCACACUUGACACAAAACAAGAGAGCACAGCAGGUUGCUCCCUAGCCCGCAGAUGCCCUGUCCCUCCCAGGCUGUCUGCGCCAGCCCUCCCUCCAGUCUGUCUGUGCUCUCUGCUUCUGGGGAAGAGCUUUUCCCAGAGCAGGGGGAGAUACUGGGCCGCAUGGUACACACUACUUCCGGAAGUCAGGUGAGUUCCGUCCUCACAGCUCUUCCACCAGAGCCCGGGAAUCAAGUCUGCCAAGUGCA